This 3653-nucleotide long non-coding RNA is filed under the name Triticum aestivum (bread wheat). RNAcentral's name for it is "long non-coding RNA (TAES_LNC015655)". Lineage: Eukaryota; Viridiplantae; Streptophyta; Magnoliopsida; Poales; Poaceae. The record is from RNAcentral.
UCUAGACACAAAUUAAAAUAAAUCAAGCUUUAUAUUACAAGCCAGGGGCCUCGAGGGCUCAAAUACAUCAGCUCGAAUACAAACGAGUCAGCGGAAGCAACAAUAUCUGAGUACAGACAUAAGUUAAACAAGUUUGCCUUAAAAAGGCUAGCACAAAAGCAACAUCGACCGAAAAGGCAAGGCUCAAAUACAUCAAGCUUUAUAUUACAAGCCAGGGGCCUCGAGGGCUCAAAUACAUCAGCUCGAAUACAAACGAGUCAGCGGAAGCAACAAUAUCUGAGUACAGACAUAAGUUAAACAAGUUUGCCUUAAAAAGGCUAGCACAAAAGCAACAUCGACCGAAAAGGCAAGGCCUCCUGCCUGGGAGCCUCCUAACUACUCCUGGUCAUCUGCGGUCUCCGUCACGUGGUAGUAGGCACCCUCGAGGUAGUAGCAGUCGUCAAAGGUGUCAUCUAGCUCCUGGACUCCGUCAUCUGGUUGCGUCAUCCAAGAAGAAUGGAAAAGGGGGAAAAGAGGGAGCAAAGCAACCGUGAGUACUCAUCCAAAGUACUCGCAAGCAAGAAUCUACACUACAGAUGCAACAUUAUCAAAGGAAGGCUGUAUAUGUGGACUGGACUACAGAAAUGCCAGAAUAGAGAGAAGGCCUAGUCCUAUCUAAGACUAGCAUCUUUUGGAAACCACCAUCUUGCAGCAAACAGGAGGGAGUAGAGUAGCAUAAAGUAAAGUAGUAGUAGUGUUAUCAACCUCGGCCAGAGAUCCUUUCUCGACUCCCUGCGAGAAAGAAAUCCCAGAGCCGUACUAUCCAAUUAUCAUCACAAUCCAAUUCUCAUCACCAUCCAAUUCUCAUCACAAGUAUCCAGUUCUAGUUGUAUCGAUCGGGAUACAACUCCGAGUGUCCGUUACCGUAGGACAGGCUAUCGAUAGAUGUUUUCUUCCCUACAGGGGUGCACCAACUUACCCACCACGCUUGAUUAACUCCGGCCGGACACACUUUCCUGGGUCAUGCCCGGCCUCGGCCAAACAAUACACCGCAACCCGACCUAGACCUAACAGAGAGGUCAGCACGCCGGACUAAACCUAUGCCCCCAGGGGUCAUGGGCCAUCUCCCCGGAAACUCCUGCAUGUUGCAUACGCGGCCGGUGAGCAGACCUAGCCUCCCUUAUACAAGAGAAGGCGUAACCAGUCCAACCCGGCGCGCGCCGCUCAGUCGCUGACAUCUAUUAAGCUUCGGCUGAUGCAUACGACGCAGAACGCCCAUACUAUGCCCACGUGAUGGUUAGUGCUAUCAGGCCAGAGGCCCCUCAGAUCAAAUAUCCAAAUCGUAGUGGAUUGGGAACGCGCGGUAACAAGCAGAGACUCACGAAAGAUGUGACCAUUGCCCCGUGUCGAGGACUUGCGGCAAGGGCUAAGAAUGCCCGGCCACGCCUUGUAAUUAUCUCACGGGCACCUUCCAGGUCAACCCGACUCCUCAUCACUCGCAAUUAUGCUCGCGCGGGUACCCCUUAGGGUCGACCCGUCUUUAGUAACAUGGUUCAGUGUCAAGUCAUAGUAACCAUAGUAACCGUGUGUCCAAACAUCAAGGGGAAAACCCGAGGAAUCACCCCCGGUGAAUUCCACUCAAUGUAAUCAUCAAGGUGAACGUAAGAGGAAUCACCCCUGAGGUUCACACUUGAGGGGUUGCACGACCGAGUCAUAUCGGAAGUGGUUAAGGUGGAAUCACCCUCGAUGAGCACGACCGAAUAGCUACACUACAGGGUUAACAUCAGAAGUGCUGUAGAGGUCUCACCCUCGGCACUCGAUAGUAACCCAGCAGUGUCGAGCAACUAAGGGGAAAGUGAUGUGCGGUGCCGGGGCCUGGUCUUCAAUCCCGUUGAUCGGGUCUUCAAUGAUGAAGCAGGGGCAACAAGGACAAGGUGGGGGUCACUGAUGGAUCACUAACCAACCUAUACUAAGCAAUUUAGGAUAAGCAGGUAAGGUACAAUAACAGAUACAAAAGCAGGCUAUGCAUCAGAAGAGGAGCAUACAAUAACAGUAGCAAAAUCUAAUGCAAGCAUGAGAGAAAGGAAUGGGCGAUAUCGGGAUGAUCAAAGGGGGGGCUUGCCUGGAAGCUCCGCUGAAAGGGAAGAAGGGUCGUCGUCGACGUAGUCGAUCACAGAGGUAGCAUCGGUCUCGGGGUCUACCGGAGAGAAGAGGGGGAAGAAACAAUGAAUAUAAAGCAAACAAAGCAUCAUAAAUCAUAACGUGGUAAUACGCGGUGUUAGAAGUGAACUAACGCAAUGCUAGACGUUGCCGACGGAAAGGGAAAACAUCCGAAGGGGUUUUUCCGACGUCUGAUGUUUUUCGGACAAAUGAAAAGAAGGGGACAGUUCCAUGUUAAGCAUGCUGGGGGCAUGUGACAGAUGAACGGACCGUGUAUCUGGAUUCGUUAGAUUUUUCUGAGCAACUUUCAUAUAUAAAACAUUUUCAUCCGAGUUACGGAUUAUUUUGUAUUAAUUUUCUAAGUUUUAAUAAUAUUCUAAAAUUUCUAGUUUUGCUUUAAUUCGAGUUAACCAAGUCAAUUUGACUGGUCAAAGGGGAGGUGGUGGCCCACAUGUCUUAGACCUAUAUAUAAUUUAAUAAAUAAAAACUAACUAUAUCAGUAUGGAGCCCAUGUGUCAUAGUGUAGCAACUAACCUAACUAGUACGAUUAGUCCCUAAUCUAAUCCAAACAGGCCGGCCAGAGGCAUAGCCAGCCCCACGGCUGUGCACAUACACGCACAACCCAUGGGGGCGCUCAUCCAUGGCCACGGCCACAUGCGAGGCUAGCGCCAGAGCAGCCAACAGCGGCAGCAACAUGCGAGAAGCAGCCGCAUCAGUAUUAAGCAGCGGCAACAACAUCUAUCACAGCACCUAACGGGAGUAGCAGCGGCAGCUGAGCAGCAAACAACCAAGCAGGCACGGGAGCUGGCGUCGCGAGGCAGUAGCAGCUGAAGGCGGGCAACAGCAGCAGGUAGAGCAGCGCGCGGUCGCUGCUUGAGCCUGUUGGGCGCGGCUGGGGCGCCGUGUACGCAAGGGUAGGGGGCGCACGGGGUCGCGUGUGGGGGCGCAGGGAGUGGCCAAGGCGCGCGAGCACGGCUACGGGCAGCCGGUCGCAGCCAGAGGGCACGGGUGAGCGCACACGCGCACAUACACAGGAGCUCGAGAAACGGCGUACCACAACGUAACGAGGCACGGAUCGAACGGGGAAAGGGGUGGAAUCGGUGGAGGAGCUCACCGUGGAGCCGUAGGCAUGCUCGGGGAGGUCGGGGACGGUUGGAGAUGAGUAGAUCGACGCGGUGGCGCGCUGGUGAUGCAGAGGAGGGGAUCGGCUCGAUCCCGACGAUGUCGCGCUGUGUUGCCCGAAUCCAUGCCCGUGGCCGAUGAAGUCGAAGCCGACGAGUCUCCUGGACACAGUGGCGCCGCACGAGGUGGCCGGUGGAUGUGGUGGUCCACGACGACGAGCUCCGAUGCGUUGUGGCAACCUCAAAUCAGAGCAGGGAGAGGAUGGGGGAGUGAAGUGGAUCUGGGAGAGGCGAGUGGGAGAGGUGGCAGGGGGGAGACCGAGGCGUCGAGGUGCUGGCGGCCUUAUCCUCCUCCCGGCGUUGCCGGCGAGGCGGUCGGGCGGGAACGGCGCC